UCCAGCGGAGGAUGUGGGGCAGGAAGAGGGAAGAGGGCCAAUCUCUGUCUAAUGGUUCCAAACAGGGCCCGGGCCCGGCCCUCUGGAUGCUGACGAGUGGGAAAUGAAACACAGAUGGGUCAGAUGGGUAAGGAGAGGGGGAUUACAGGUCAGGCCAAAGAGUUGGAAUAAAUUAAGUGCUUAUGAGGUACAGAAUGGCACAUUGUUUAAGUGAAUGGACAGGGAAAAAACAUUCCAGCAUUGUUCAUCCGCCGAGGGAGCCCAACGCUCCUCUUCCCAGACGAGCCCAGGCCACAGAGCGCCUCCUCCUCGCCAGGAUGUUUGUGACCCACAGACUGAAAACGCGGCCAGGCGGUGCCCGAAACAUUAUCCUAGCCUCCAAAGAGGCCAGUUUGGCUUUAUUACACGGGAGAUGUAAUUUAUUGGGAGAAAUGUUUGGGUUCGUGUGUCGGAUGGUGGAGAGUCAGAUUUGGAGUUCCCUAGGGAUCUCCGAGGAGAAGGUGUGUUAAGGAAAUCACCAAGUCCCAGAGUGUAGACAAGCCCGAUCCCUUCGCAGCAGAAGCAGAUGUUCACAAAGCAACUGACCAGGCCAGGUGUGUCCUUCAAGGCUACCUGCAUUCAACAGAGGCGACCACAGCCCAGACCCAUCCUUCUUGGGAGAAUUUCAAGAUGCUCCACAUAGUGGUGCCUAGCGCUCUGUGCACUCAGAGGCUAGAAGAAAAGAUACAGAGGUCCUCUUUCAAGGAGAGGCCCUGAUGUUUCUAUUCUUACAAGGAUUCUUUGGUAAUAAAUACAGUGAAAACACCGUCACCGUAGAGAUAAUACUUAAUGCUCAAGAGGUACGUAGCAGAGAUUGCAUUCCAAUCAAGGACUUCCGUAACCCUGUCUACCAAGCCAGUAUCACCUGUAGGCCAGUUCACCUUCAUCCAGUCACUUUACAGCACUUGAGUGUUUGCUGUCCGCUCAAUUAAAAUCCUACUCUGGUGGGAAAAACCAGAUUUCCAAAUGGGGACUUUAUUGAUUCAAUAAAAUUUAAGAAAUUCUGCUUAUGGAAAAACUCAUUAACCCAAACUAAUAAAUACGAGUUUACCCUGCA
Long non-coding RNA from Sus scrofa (pig), 1096 nucleotides. RefSeq lists it as uncharacterized. The record is from RefSeq and is a predicted model, not a curated record. Lineage: Eukaryota; Metazoa; Chordata; Mammalia; Artiodactyla; Suidae.